CGCUAGACGUUUGCGAUUUUGUGCCGAAUUGAAGGUCGCGGCGGCCAUCUUGGUACGCGCGACUUUCUGCUUGCGGAUGCAGUGAGUGGGUUGGAAUCGCCGUUUCGAUGGUGCAAAAUGUAAGAUAAUUUGAGGAAAUUCAUCGUUCUGCGCGUUGAAAUGGAUUUUCACGCUAUUGUUGUUGGUUCAGCCAUUAACUUGGAAAAGGAUAACACGAAACGUGUAUGCAUAGAGGUUGAAGAAUCAAGUUUUGGAAACCAGGUGAAAGUGUGAAGUGAAUCAAGUCAUUUGUUGCCUACUCCUGAAGUGUCUCCAGUUUCUUCAAUUAACCAGCUUUUAUACUAGUUUCAAUACACAGCACAAAGCACAUUCAUUUCAUUUCUGCAUUGUUUAUAAUUUGUAAUGCAAUUAAAACUUAAAAAAAGUUUGCAA
This is a non-coding RNA of Styela clava, 432 nucleotides long. The record is from RefSeq and is a predicted model, not a curated record. NCBI's taxonomy places the organism in Eukaryota, Metazoa, Chordata, Ascidiacea, Stolidobranchia, Styelidae.